Centrocercus urophasianus (Greater sage-grouse) is the source of this 505-nucleotide long non-coding RNA. RefSeq lists it as uncharacterized. Lineage: Eukaryota; Metazoa; Chordata; Aves; Galliformes; Phasianidae. The record is from RefSeq and is a predicted model, not a curated record. The transcript has 3 exons.
CCCACCCCGCAGAUGGGAGCUGCACACUGCAGAGCUGCAGCAGCACUGAGAGUGUUUCUGGGGUUCAGGCCCCAACGCUGCAGUGGUUCUUACCAUUGUCUGUCUCCACGUAGAGCCGCAGGCCCAGGUUGUGCUUGCGUUCCACCAGCCAGUGGCUGCUGGCGGCUGUGACGUCGAACACCAGCCAGCCCUCGGUGCCGGCAUGCAGCUGCUGGGCGUCCAGCAGGAACAGGUUGGACUCCCUGCAGAUGGGCACAGUGGCCCCGGUGCUGCGAGGUCAGGACAGCGCCUGUGGCUGUGUGAAGGUGGCACCCUGGCAGCUGCCCUGGGAAAAGCACAGCUCCCUCCUAGCACCGUGUGUGUCACUGCCUGGGGACGCUGUGGAGCAGCAUUUGGCACAGGGUGGGAAAGAUGCGGAACUCGGCGGCCGUCACCGACUCCCCUGCGGGCACCUGAGCCAGGUCGAAGCGGAACUCCUUCCAGUAGGGCUUUGGGGAGGAGGUGU